AACGCACAUUGCGCCCGCCAGUAUUCUGGCGGGCAUGCCUGUCCGAGCGUCAUUUCAACCCUCGAGCCCCCCCGGGGGCCCGGCGUUGGGGAUCGGCACCCCGCCCUCAAAGGCGGGAGCCGGCCCCGAAAUACAGUGGCGGUCUCGCCGCAGCCUCUCCUGCGCAGUAGCUUGCACACUCGCACCGGGAGCGCGGCGCGGCCACGCCGUGAAACACACCAAACUUCUGAAAUGUUGACCUCGGAUCAGGUAGGAAUACCCGCUGAACUUAA
RNAcentral lists this unclassified non-coding RNA (272 nucleotides) under uncultured fungus. RNAcentral describes it as "partial contains 5.8S ribosomal RNA, internal transcribed spacer 2, and large subunit ribosomal RNA". The stretch from base 1 to 52 matches the Rfam family "5.8S ribosomal RNA", at positions 103 to 154 of the family's 154-position model. Lineage: Eukaryota; Fungi. The record is from RNAcentral.